AGAUCCAAGAUGAAACAGAUCGUAUAACUGGGAAGUCUAAGCAAAUCUCUAAUAUUCCAAUUCACUUGAGCAUACAUUCUCCAAAUGUUGUAAACUUAACACUAAUAGAUCUGCCUGGGUUGACAAAGGUUGCCGUGGAAGGACAGCCAGAGACUAUUGUUGAAGAUUUUGAUAACAUGGUCCCUUCUUAUGUUGAGAAG
Long non-coding RNA from Cornus florida, 200 nucleotides. RefSeq lists it as uncharacterized. NCBI's taxonomy places the organism in Eukaryota, Viridiplantae, Streptophyta, Magnoliopsida, Cornales, Cornaceae. The record is from RefSeq and is a predicted model, not a curated record. The transcript is spliced from 3 exons.